GGUGGCUCACUGGUAGAGUGCUUGCCUUGCAUGCCUGAGGCCCUGGGUUCGAUUCCCCAGCACCA
RNAcentral lists this transfer RNA (65 nucleotides) under Dipodomys ordii (Ord's kangaroo rat). It matches the Rfam family "tRNA". Rfam says of the family: Transfer RNA (tRNA) molecules are approximately 80 nucleotides in length. Their secondary structure includes four short double-helical elements and three loops (D, anti-codon, and T loops). The record is from Rfam by way of RNAcentral. Lineage: Eukaryota; Metazoa; Chordata; Mammalia; Rodentia; Heteromyidae.